This 274-nucleotide ribosomal RNA is filed under the name uncultured bacterium. Its description in RNAcentral is "partial 16S ribosomal RNA". It matches the Rfam family "Bacterial small subunit ribosomal RNA", at positions 523 to 796 of the family's 1533-position model. The record is from RNAcentral.
AUACGGAGGGUGCAAGCGUUGUUCGGAAUUACUGGGCGUAAAGCGCGUGUAGGCGGCUUGUUAAGUCAGAUGUGAAAGCCCUGGGCUCAACCCAGGAAGUGCAUUUGAAACUGGCAGGCUUGAGUACGGGAGAGGAGAGUGGAAUUCCUAGUGUAGAGGUGAAAUUCGUAGAUAUUAGGAGGAACACCCGUGGCGAAGGCGGCUCUCUGGCCCAGUACUGACGCUGAGACGCGAAAGCGUGGGGAGCAAACAGGAUUAGAUACCCGAGUAGUCC